Molecule: ribosomal RNA, 1161 nt
Filed under: Salmonella enterica subsp. enterica serovar Enteritidis
Lineage: Bacteria; Pseudomonadati; Pseudomonadota; Gammaproteobacteria; Enterobacterales; Enterobacteriaceae
Description: partial 23S ribosomal RNA
Rfam family: Bacterial large subunit ribosomal RNA
Source: RNAcentral
GGGUUGUGAGGUUAAGCGACUAAGCGUACACGGUGGAUGCCCUGGCAGUCAGAGGCGAUGAAGGGCGUACUAAUCUGCGAUAAGCGCCGGUAAGGUGAUAUGAACCGUUAUAACCGGCGAUACCCGAAUGGGGAAACCCAGUGUGAUUCGUCACACUAUCAUUAACUGAAUCCAUAGGUUAAUGAGGCGAACCGGGGGAACUGAAACAUCUAAGUACCCCGAGGAAAAGAAAUCAACCGAGAUUCCCCCAGUAGCGGCGAGCGAACGGGGAGGAGCCCAGAGCCUGAAUCAGCAUGUGUGUUAGUGGAAGCGUCUGGAAAGGCGCGCGAUACAGGGUGACAGCCCCGUACACAAAAGCGCAUGUGCUGUGAGCUCGAUGAGUAGGGCGGGACACGUGGUAUCCUGUCUGAAUAUGGGGGGACCAUCCUCCAAGGCUAAAUACUCCUGACUGACCGAUAGUGAACCAGUACCGUGAGGGAAAGGCGAAAAGAACCCCGGCGAGGGGAGUGAAAAAGAACCUGAAACCGUGUACGUACAAGCAGUGGGAGCACAGGUUUACCUGUGUGACUGCGUACCUUUUGUAUAAUGGGUCAGCGACUUAUAUUCUGUAGCAAGGUUAACCGAAUAGGGGAGCCGGAGGGAAACCGAGUCUUAAUUGGGCGUUAAGUUGCAGGGUAUAGACCCGAAACCCGGUGAUCUAGCCAUGGGCAGGUUGAAGGUUGGGUAACACUAACUGGAGGACCGAACCGACUAAUGUUGAAAAAUUAGCGGAUGACCUGUGGCUGGGGGUGAAAGGCCAAUCAAACCGGGAGAUAGCUGGUUCUCCCCGAAAGCUAUUUAGGUAGCGCCUCGUGAAUUCAUCUCCGGGGGUAGAGCACUGUUUCGGCUAGGGGGCCAUCCCGGCUUACCAACCCGAUGCAAACUGCGAAUACCGGAGAAUGUUAUCACGGGAGACACACGGCGGGUGCUAACGUCCGUCGUGAAGAGGGAAACAACCCAGACCGCCAGCUAAGGUCCCAAAGUCAUGGUUAAGUGGGAAACGAUGUGGGAAGGCCCAGACAGCCAGGAUGUUGGCUUAGAAGCAGCCAUCAUUUAAAGAAAGCGUAAUAGCUCACUGGUCGAGUCGGCCUGCGCGGAAGAUGUAACGGGGCUAAACCAUGC